AUACGGAGGGUGCGAGCGUUAACCGGAAUUACUGGGCGUAAAGGGUGCGUAGGCGGCUUGAUAAGUCGGAUGUGAAAGCCCCGGGCUUAACCUGGGAAUUGCAUUCGAUACUGUCAGGCUAGAGUAUGUCAGAGGUUGGCGGAAUUCCUGGUGUAGCGGUGAAAUGCGUAGAUAUCAGGAGGAACACCAGUGGCGAAGGCGGCUAACUGGGGCAAUACUGACGCUGAGGCACGAAAGCGUGGGGAGCAAACAGGAUUAGAAACCCUAGUAGUCC
This 274-nucleotide ribosomal RNA is filed under the name uncultured bacterium. RNAcentral describes it as "partial 16S ribosomal RNA". It matches the Rfam family "Bacterial small subunit ribosomal RNA", at positions 523 to 796 of the family's 1533-position model. The record is from RNAcentral.